RNAcentral lists this ribosomal RNA (458 nucleotides) under uncultured bacterium. Its description in RNAcentral is "partial 16S ribosomal RNA". It matches the Rfam family "Bacterial small subunit ribosomal RNA", at positions 338 to 795 of the family's 1533-position model. The record is from RNAcentral.
CCUACGGGAGGCAGCAGUGAGGAAUAUUGGUCAAUGGGCGAGAGCCUGAACCAGCCAAGUCGCGUGAGGGAGUACUGCCCUAUGGGUUGUAAACCUCUUUUGUCGGGGAGCAAAAGCCGGACGUGUCCGGCUGUGAGAGUACCCGAAGAAAAAGCCUCGGCUAACUCCGUGCCAGCAGCCGCGGUAAUACGGAGGAUGCGAGCGUUAUCCGGAUUUAUUGGGUUUAAAGGGUGCGCAGGCGGAUUUUUAAGUCAGCGGUAAAAUCGUGGGGCUCAACCCCAUCCAGCCGUUGAAACUGGGGAUCUAGAGUGUGCGAGAGGUAUGCGGAAUGCGUGGUGUAGCGGUGAAAUGCAUAGAUAUCACGCAGAACCCCGAUUGCGAAGGCAGCAUACCGGUGCACAACUGACGCUCAGGCACGAAAGCGUGGGUAUCGAACAGGAUUAGAUACCCUAGUAGUC